This 449-nucleotide ribosomal RNA is filed under the name uncultured bacterium. RNAcentral describes it as "partial 16S ribosomal RNA". It matches the Rfam family "Bacterial small subunit ribosomal RNA", at positions 30 to 523 of the family's 1533-position model. The record is from RNAcentral.
AUUGAACGCUGGCGGCAGGCCUAACACAUGCAAGUCGAACGCCCUAGCAAUAGGGAGUGGCAGACGGGUGAGUAACACGUGGGAACGUGCCCUUCGGUUCGGAAUAACUCAGGGAAACUUGAGCUAAUACCGGAUACGUGCGAGAGCAGAAAGAUUUAUCGCCGAAGGAUCGGCCCGCGUCCGAUUAGCUAGUUGGUGAGGUAAAGGCUCACCAAGGCGACGAUCGGUAGCUGGUCUGAGAGGAUGGCCAGCCACACUGGGACUGAGACACGGCCCAGACUCCUACGGGAGGCAGCAGUGGGGAAUAUUGGACAAUGGGCGCAAGCCUGAUCCAGCCAUGCCGCGUGAGUGAUGAAGGCCCUAGGGUUGUAAAGCUCUUUCGCCAGGGACGAUAAUGACGGUACCUGGAUAAGAAGCCCCGGCUAACUUCGUGCCAGCCGCCGCCGUAA